GGUUCUUUUCGUGAUGAAAAGGGUCCUUCCACAGCUGGUUCAGACAAACUACAGCAGGUGAUGAGCAUCCUGGCUAAUGCCCAGAGAUCUGUCACAUUCACUACAUGGUCCCAGGACUGCAGUGCUCUCAGCCAGCUGCAGCAUGGCUUUGCCUUCACUUUUCUCUGCCACUGAUGUAGAAGAUGCCCAAGACAACUGCUCAAACGAGUGUUAAGGGGAAAACAGUCAUCUCCUCCUGCAUGCAAAGGCUCUUGAAGAGACCUUUGCAGCUGGAAGCCUCCAGAUGCUGACCAGUGAGACAGGACAGAGAGCAAGAGGCUGGAAGAUGCUGAGGGGACUUGGCAAUAGCUCUGCACAUCCCAAGAUUACAAGCGCUAACCACUGUGAGAACAUGCUGUGCAUCCAGGAUUAUUGAUUACCCUCUCCUAAUCCCAUGAUUGAAUGCCCAGGGCAAAAAAAAAAAAAAAAAAAAAAAAAAAAAAAAGACUCCUAUUAUAUAUAGAUAGAUAGCUAUUUAAAAUCAUUACCAGAGAUUUAUAUCUCUGAGCUAGUCUUCCAUUCUCUGGGGAAACCAGACAGCUGCAUAGUAAAAGACUGAAAGCCGCAAUAAAACGAAGAAAUGAGCUUCAAUAAAUCAUUAAGCUAAAGCUCAUAAUGUUUAUCUGUAAUGUCAUGUCCCCACAAUCUACAAAAGCAGAUGUGUAACUUUUCGUUUUUCUUUUAUCAACUAUUCAACUGUCAUGUAGCUAUUAUAGAAGAUUAAAA
This is a long non-coding RNA of Oxyura jamaicensis (ruddy duck), 765 nucleotides long. RefSeq lists it as uncharacterized. The transcript has 2 exons. NCBI's taxonomy places the organism in Eukaryota, Metazoa, Chordata, Aves, Anseriformes, Anatidae. The record is from RefSeq and is a predicted model, not a curated record.